This 316-nucleotide unclassified non-coding RNA is filed under the name plant metagenome. RNAcentral describes it as "partial contains 5.8S ribosomal RNA, internal transcribed spacer 2, and large subunit ribosomal RNA". The stretch from base 1 to 105 matches the Rfam family "5.8S ribosomal RNA", at positions 50 to 154 of the family's 154-position model. The record is from RNAcentral.
GAACUGCGAUAAGUAAUGUGAAUUGCAGAAUUCAGUGAAUCAUCGAGUCUUUGAACGCACAUUGCGCCCCCUGGCAUUCCGGGGGGCAUGCCUGUCCGAGCGUCAUUGCUGCCCUUCAAGCCCGGCUUGUGUGUUGGGUCGUCGUCCCCUCCGGGGGACGGGCCCGAAAGGCAGUGGCGGCACCGCGUCCGGUCCUCGAGCGUAUGGGGCUUUGUCACCCGCUCGAUAAGGACCGGCCGGGCGCCAGCCGGCGUCUCCAACCUUUUUUUUCUCAGGUUGACCUCGGAUCAGGUAGGGAUACCCGCUGAACUUAAGC